This 914-nucleotide ribosomal RNA is filed under the name Drechslera sp. Its description in RNAcentral is "LSU rRNA". It matches the Rfam family "Eukaryotic large subunit ribosomal RNA", at positions 38 to 966 of the family's 3401-position model. The record is from RNAcentral. Lineage: Eukaryota; Fungi; Ascomycota; Dothideomycetes; Pleosporales; Pleosporaceae.
GCAUAUCAAUAAGCGGGAGGAAAAGAAACCAACAGGGAUUGCCCUAGUAACGGCGAGUGAAGCGGCAACAGCUCAAAUUUGAAAUCUGGCUCUUUCAGGGUCCGAGUUGUAAUUUGCAGAGGGCGCUUUGGCUUUGGCAGCGGUCCAAGUUCCUUGGAACAGGACGUCACAGAGGGUGAGAAUCCCGUACGUGGUCGCUAGCUAUUGCCGUGUAAAGCCCCUUCGACGAGUCGAGUUGUUUGGGAAUGCAGCUCUAAAUGGGAGGUAAAUUUCUUCUAAAGCUAAAUACUGGCCAGAGACCGAUAGCGCACAAGUAGAGUGAUCGAAAGAUGAAAAGCACUUUGGAAAGAGAGUCAAACAGCACGUGAAAUUGUUGAAAGGGAAGCGCUUGCAGCCAGACUUGCUUGCAGUUGCUCAUCCGGGCUUUUGCCCGGUGCACUCUUCUGCAGGCAGGCCAGCAUCAGUUUGGGCGGUGGGAUAAAGGUCUCUGUCACGUACCUCUCUUCGGGGAGGCCUUAUAGGGGAGACGACAUACCACCAGCCUGGACUGAGGUCCGCGCAUUCGCUAGGAUGCUGGCGUAAUGGCUGUAAGCGGCCCGUCUUGAAACACGGACCAAGGAGUCUAACAUCUAUGCGAGUGUUUGGGUGUCAAGCCCGAACGCGUAAUGAAAGUGAACGGAGGUGGGAACCCGCAAGGGUGCACCAUCGACCGAUCCUGAUGUCUUCGGAAGGAUUUGAGUAAGAGCAUGGCUGUUGGGACCCGAAAGAUGGUGAACUAUGCUUGAAUAGGGUGAAGCCAGAGGAAACUCUGGUGGGAGGCUCGCAGCGGUUCUGACGUGCAAAUCGAUCGUCAAAUUUGGGCAUAGGGGCGAAAGACUAAUYCGAAACUAUCUAGUAGCUGGGUUCCUGCGAAG